This 415-nucleotide ribosomal RNA is filed under the name uncultured bacterium. Its description in RNAcentral is "bacterial SSU rRNA". It matches the Rfam family "Bacterial small subunit ribosomal RNA", at positions 29 to 426 of the family's 1533-position model. The record is from RNAcentral.
AACGAACGCUGGCGGCGUGGAUAAGACAUGCAAGUCGAACGGGGAACUUUUUUGGUAGGCAAUACUAGAAAAGCUCUAGUGGCGAACGGGUGCGUAACACGUGGGCAAUCUGCCGAGAAGUGGGGGGAUAGCUCGCCGAAAGGCGAAUUAAUACCGCAUGUGAUCAGCUAGGACAUCCUGGCGAAAUCAAAGGUGGCGCAAGCUACCGCUUUUUGAGGAGCCCGCGGCCAUCAGCUAGUUGGUGAGGUAACGGCCCACCAAGGCUUUGACGGGUAGCUGGUCUGAGAGGACGACCAGUCACACUGGAACUGAGACACGGUCCAGACACCUACGGGUGGCAGCAGUCGAGAAUUUUUCUCAAUGGGGCAACCCUGAAGGAGCGACGCCGCGUGGAGGAUGAAGGCUUUCGGGUUGU